UCUCUCCAGUGAUCUAAUGUGAGAAGCACAGAAAGGAAUACCCCCAAAUCUCUACGUGAACAGCAGAAAUGUAAGUUUCCUUGCCUUUAUCAGACACGUCUCUUCAGAAGAUGAAAGCAGCACAUUCUCCGGCUUCAGAUCCCGGUGUAUGAUUCCAUUGUCAUGAAGAUACUAGAUAUACACAAAUAUACAUAUAUGAAGAAAAGCUGACUAUUAUCCUUCUUUAAGAUAUAUGCUUUCCAGUUUUUCCAACAGCAGUGGCAGGAUAACUGAAAUUGCUAUUCAAGAGACAUGCAUGCAUUUAAAGCUACGCAGCUUGUGACCUUUUUUAAAGCCAAAGAAGUUCACACUUCAGUUUGCAAAGACCAAAAUGCUUCAUCAGGAUGCACAGUACAGCACUUAAGCACUAAUUGUUUG
Molecule: long non-coding RNA, 417 nt
Filed under: Gallus gallus (chicken)
Lineage: Eukaryota; Metazoa; Chordata; Aves; Galliformes; Phasianidae
Source: RNAcentral